AUUGAACGCUGGCGGCAGGCCUAACACAUGCAAGUCGAGCGGAUGAAGGGAGCUUGCUCCUGGAUUCAGCGGCGGACGGGUGAGUAAUGCCUAGGAAUCUGCCUGGUAGUGGGGGAUAACGUCCGGAAACGGGCGCUAAUACCGCAUACGUCCUGAGGUAGAAAGUGGGGGAUCUUCGGACCUCACGCUAUCAGAUGAGCCUAGGUCGGAUUAGCUAGUUGGUGGGGUAAAGGCCUACCAAGGCGACGAUCCGUAACUGGUCUGAGAGGAUGAUCAGUCACACUGGAACUGAGACACGGUCCAGACUCCUACGGGAGGCAGCAGUGGGGAAUAUUGGACAAUGGGCGAAAGCCUGAUCCAGCCAUGCCGCGUGUGUGAAGAAGGUCUUCGGAUUGUAAAGCACUUUAAGUUGGGAGGAAGGGCAGUAAGUUAAUACCUUGCUAUUUUGACGUUACCAACAGAAUAAGCACCGGCUAACUUCGUG
This 484-nucleotide ribosomal RNA is filed under the name uncultured bacterium. RNAcentral describes it as "partial 16S ribosomal RNA". It matches the Rfam family "Bacterial small subunit ribosomal RNA", at positions 30 to 507 of the family's 1533-position model. The record is from RNAcentral.